GACUCUUUUCAUUUCGUUUUCUCUGUUUCGAUAAGGCUGAGGGGGAGCUCGAGCGGGGGAGCAGAGGAUGUGAUUCUCCCCGUCCGUGGAGAUUUCGAGAUCUCCCACCGCCUGAGCUUGAUCUCUCUUCCCUUUCUCUUCGCCCCCCUGUGUCACGGUUGGUUGUUCCUCUCUCUCUUGCGCGUGUUUGUUGUUCUGCUUGUGUUGUUCUAGAUCUAGGUCAGUUCAUGUCGCCCUCUCGCCAUCUCAUGCAGCCGCUGGUAUGUGUGAUUUGCUGGGCCUUGUGAUACACGCGCGCGUGCUCCUGUUGUAGUUUGUAGAUGUAAUUGUUGUUUUCCUUUUCUACGUAGAUGUAACAUGCGGGAUUCUGUAGGUGUAGAUGUAGCAUGCGGGAUUCCAUGGCAGAUUUCUGUAGAUGUAGCUAUAGGUGCUGGAUUUUCUAUAGAUGUAGUGUGCGGGAUUUCUAUAGAUGUUCUGCUCAUGUUCCUGUAGGUGAGGUUUGUACAGAUGCCUAGCUCUUUCCUGCUCAUGUUCUGAUGCUCCUGUGUGUAUUCCUGUUCAUGUACUAAGUACAUUUCGCCUCCUGAUUUGUUCUUGCGGGGUGUAGGUGUUUAGUUCCCCUUGUACCAUGUUUGUUUACUUCUUGCAGGGAUGGUUUGAGUUUAAUUUCAGUGUAAUUUUAUCUCAGCCUUUGAUGGUCAUUUACUCAGUUGUUGUGAUUGGAUUUGCAGUGUUAUUUUACACUGUAAUUCAUCUCAGACUUACAGUGUAAUUUUGUCCCAGACUUGCAGUGUAAUCUCAGUACUGUAUUAGUGUAAUUUCUUUCAGAUUUUGCAGUGUAAUUAACCUGAUUUUUGAACUGUAAUUUGUGCCAGUCUUUCAGUGUAAUUUGUCCCAGAUUUACAUUGUAAUUUGUUCCGGAUUUACAGUGUAUAUUGAGUGGAUAUUACAGUGUUAUUUGGUUGUAGUUCCAGUGUAGACUUACAGUGUAAUUUUAUCUCAGUAUUGCAGUGUAAUUUGUCCCAGAUUUAUGGUGUAAUUUCUACCAGAUUUAUAAUUUAAUUAACCUUUUUCAGUGUGGUAUUGAGUGAAUUUUCUAUGUUAUUUAAUUGUGAUUGCAGUGUAGUUCAUCCCAGCAUUACAGACUUCUAAUUGUAAUUCACCCAUUAAUUCUAGUGGAUUUAUAGUGUAAUUUGAAUGUAGUUUCAGUGUAAUUUACCCCAACAUUAGAGUGUAGUUUACCCAAUAAUUCGGUUGUUAUUGGAUUUUGAGUGGUUUUGUCAGUGUAUUUUAGGAAGGGGAGCCUUGGCGCAGUGGUAAAGCUGCUGCCUUGUGACCAUGAGGUCACGGGUUCAAGUCCUGGAAACAGCUUCUUACAGAAAUGUAGGGAAAGACUGCGUACUAUAGACCCAAAGUGGUCGGACCCUUCCCCGACCCUGCGCAAGCAGGAGCUACAUGCACCGGGCUGCCCUUUUUUUGUCAGUGUAUUUUAGCCCGUCUUGCACACUGUUUGCACAUUAAUUUUAUCUAUUUUUCAAUGUAAUUAAGUCUAGUUUGCUCAGUAAUACCAUUGGUUCCUAUAUACUAUUUAGCUAGUAUUCAAUGUUCCUUGCUUGGUUCAGUACUAUAGGGCGGUUUUCAUUUAGCUCACUUUAAUGUCUUCUUCAUUGAGGAAUUCAUCGUCUCCUUGUUCAAGUGAGUCUUCUGGUUCUUUUCUUUCUCCUUCUCCAUUCCUUUGACCCGUGCUUGAGUUCGUGUUAGCUGCUGCUCUACUGCGAUCAACAUCUUCAGGCACCUGCAACUUUUAGGGAUUUCUUUUAGUUAUUUUCUUCUGAAAUGUUAUGACUUUCUCUUAGGUUCAUCAUUGUAUUUCUGAAUUUUGUGGUGUGUACAUGUUGCAGAUUCAUGUUAUAGAACAGGUUUGUGUCCCAGGGAUUACAUUCUCCUCCCCCAUCUUCGCUUGCUGCCACUUCAUUAUGCAAGUUUGCCUCCAAUGUCUGCAAAUAUGAAGAAAAUUCCUUCAGAUUUUGUUAAUGAAAGAGGUGAAGAGAGAUGAUGGUGAGGAGUUUGUGUACGAUUGUCGCUGACCUGUUGAUUCCCCGAUCUCCCAUGGCCGCCUCCCAGAUUUGUUCUAGGCUGUUAGGUGAGAUCUUUGUAGUGGUUGAUGGCGAUUGGCGUGUUUUGUUGUGCAUGGGAUCGGACAAAUCGGGUCAGAUGUUUACCCGACCCGUUUAGACGACCAGGAGGUUUUUUUUGCUAUCUGCUGAUUUUCCUGCUCGCUCACGUGUAAUGUGUUGAUUGGUCAGGAAAUUUGACUGUUUUCAAAUUGAAAAACAGUCAAAUGUCAAAUAGACAGUAUUUUAAGACA
Molecule: long non-coding RNA, 2368 nt
Organism: Triticum aestivum (bread wheat)
Lineage: Eukaryota; Viridiplantae; Streptophyta; Magnoliopsida; Poales; Poaceae
Exons: 2
Source: RefSeq, a predicted model, not a curated record